Molecule: ribosomal RNA, 434 nt
Filed under: uncultured bacterium
Lineage: Bacteria
Description: partial 16S ribosomal RNA
Rfam family: Bacterial small subunit ribosomal RNA
Source: RNAcentral
AGCGAACGCUGGCGGCAGGCUUAACACAUGCAAGUCGAGCGGGCACUUUCGGGUGUCAGCGGCGGACGGGUGAGUAACGCGUGGGAACGUGCCCUCUGGUUCGGAAUAACUCAGGGAAACUUGAGCUAAUACCGGAUACGCCCUUUUGGGGAAAGGCUUGCUGCCGGAGGAUCGGCCCGCGUCUGAUUAGCUAGUUGGUGAGGUAACGGCUCACCAAGGCGACGAUCAGUAGCUGGUCUGAGAGGAUGAUCAGCCACACUGGGACUGAGACACGGCCCAGACUCCUACGGGAGGCAGCAGUGGGGAAUAUUGGACAAUGGGCGCAAGCCUGAUCCAGCCAUGCCGCGUGAGUGAUGAAGGCCUUAGGGUUGUAAAGCUCUUUUAUCCGGGACGAUAAUGACGGUACCGGAGGAAUAAGCCCCGGCUAACUUCGU